RNAcentral lists this ribosomal RNA (2901 nucleotides) under Klebsiella pneumoniae. RNAcentral describes it as "23S ribosomal RNA". It matches the Rfam family "Bacterial large subunit ribosomal RNA". The record is from RNAcentral. Lineage: Bacteria; Pseudomonadati; Pseudomonadota; Gammaproteobacteria; Enterobacterales; Enterobacteriaceae.
GGUUAAGCGACUAAGCGUACACGGUGGAUGCCCUGGCAGUCAGAGGCGAUGAAGGACGUGCUAAUCUGCGAAAAGCGUCGGUAAGGUGAUAUGAACCGUUAUAACCGGCGAUGUCCGAAUGGGGAAACCCAGUGCAAUUCGUUGCACUAUCGUUAACUGAAUACAUAGGUUAACGAGGCGAACCGGGGGAACUGAAACAUCUAAGUACCCCGAGGAAAAGAAAUCAACCGAGAUUCCCCCAGUAGCGGCGAGCGAACGGGGAGCAGCCCAGAGUCUGAAUCAGCUUGUGUGUUAGUGGAACGGUCUGGAAAGUCCGACGGUACAGGGUGAUAGUCCCGUACACCAAAAUGCACAGGUUGUGAACUCGAAGAGUAGGGCGGGACACGUGGUAUCCUGUCUGAAUAUGGGGGGACCAUCCUCCAAGGCUAAAUACUCCUGACUGACCGAUAGUGAACCAGUACCGUGAGGGAAAGGCGAAAAGAACCCCGGCGAGGGGAGUGAAAAAGAACCUGAAACCGUGUACGUACAAGCAGUGGGAGCACCUUCGGGUGUGACUGCGUACCUUUUGUAUAAUGGGUCAGCGACUUAUAUUCUGUAGCAAGGUUAACCGUAUAGGGGAGCCGCAGGGAAACCGAGUCUUAACUGGGCGUUAAGUUGCAGGGUAUAGACCCGAAACCCGGUGAUCUAGCCAUGGGCAGGUUGAAGGUUGGGUAACACUAACUGGAGGACCGAACCGACUAAUGUUGAAAAAUUAGCGGAUGACUUGUGGCUGGGGGUGAAAGGCCAAUCAAACCGGGAGAUAGCUGGUUCUCCCCGAAAGCUAUUUAGGUAGCGCCUCGUGAACUCAUCUUCGGGGGUAGAGCACUGUUUCGGCUAGGGGUCAUCCCGACUUACCAACCCGAUGCAAACUACGAAUACCGAAGAAUGUUAUCACGGGAGACACACGGCGGGUGCUAACGUCCGUCGUGAAGAGGGAAACAACCCAGACCGCCAGCUAAGGUCCCAAAGUCAUGGUUAAGUGGGAAACGAUGUGGGAAGGCACAGACAGCCAGGAUGUUGGCUUAGAAGCAGCCAUCAUUUAAAGAAAGCGUAAUAGCUCACUGGUCGAGUCGGCCUGCGCGGAAGAUGUAACGGGGCUAAACCAUGCACCGAAGCUGCGGCAGCGACACUAUGUGUUGUUGGGUAGGGGAGCGUUCUGUAAGCCUGCGAAGGUGACCUGUGAGGGUUGCUGGAGGUAUCAGAAGUGCGAAUGCUGACAUAAGUAACGAUAAAGCGGGUGAAAAGCCCGCUCGCCGGAAGACCAAGGGUUCCUGUCCAACGUUAAUCGGGGCAGGGUGAGUCGACCCCUAAGGCGAGGCCGAAAGGCGUAGUCGAUGGGAAACAGGUUAAUAUUCCUGUACUUGGUGUUACUGCGAAGGGGGGACGGAGAAGGCUAUGUUAGCCGGGCGACGGUUGUCCCGGUUUAAGCAUGUAGGCUGGUUGUCCAGGCAAAUCCGGAUAAUCAAGGCUGAGGUGUGAUGACGAGGCACUACGGUGCUGAAGUAACAAAUGCCCUGCUUCCAGGAAAAGCCUCUAAGCAUCAGGUAACAUUAAAUCGUACCCCAAACCGACACAGGUGGUCAGGUAGAGAAUACCAAGGCGCUUGAGAGAACUCGGGUGAAGGAACUAGGCAAAAUGGUGCCGUAACUUCGGGAGAAGGCACGCUGGUGUGUAGGUGAAGUCCCUGCGGAUGGAGCUGAGACCAGUCGAAGAUACCAGCUGGCUGCAACUGUUUAUUAAAAACACAGCACUGUGCAAACACGAAAGUGGACGUAUACGGUGUGACGCCUGCCCGGUGCCGGAAGGUUAAUUGAUGGGGUUAUCCGUAAGGAGAAGCUCUUGAUCGAAGCCCCGGUAAACGGCGGCCGUAACUAUAACGGUCCUAAGGUAGCGAAAUUCCUUGUCGGGUAAGUUCCGACCUGCACGAAUGGCGUAAUGAUGGCCAGGCUGUCUCCACCCGAGACUCAGUGAAAUUGAACUCGCUGUGAAGAUGCAGUGUACCCGCGGCAAGACGGAAAGACCCCGUGAACCUUUACUAUAGCUUGACACUGAACAUUGAGCCUUGAUGUGUAGGAUAGGUGGGAGGCUUUGAAGCGUGGACGCCAGUCUGCGUGGAGCCAACCUUGAAAUACCACCCUUUAAUGUUUGAUGUUCUAACGUUGGCCCCUGACCGGGGUUGCGGACAGUGUCUGGUGGGUAGUUUGACUGGGGCGGUCUCCUCCCAAAGCGUAACGGAGGAGCACGAAGGUUAGCUAAUCCUGGUCGGACAUCAGGAGGUUAGUGCAAUGGCAUAAGCUAGCUUGACUGCGAGCGUGACGGCGCGAGCAGGUGCGAAAGCAGGUCAUAGUGAUCCGGUGGUUCUGAAUGGAAGGGCCAUCGCUCAACGGAUAAAAGGUACUCCGGGGAUAACAGGCUGAUACCGCCCAAGAGUUCAUAUCGACGGCGGUGUUUGGCACCUCGAUGUCGGCUCAUCACAUCCUGGGGCUGAAGUAGGUCCCAAGGGUAUGGCUGUUCGCCAUUUAAAGUGGUACGCGAGCUGGGUUUAGAACGUCGUGAGACAGUUCGGUCCCUAUCUGCCGUGGGCGCUGGAGAAUUGAGGGGGGCUGCUCCUAGUACGAGAGGACCGGAGUGGACGCAUCACUGGUGUUCGGGUUGUCAUGCCAAUGGCACUGCCCGGUAGCUAAAUGCGGAAGAGAUAAGUGCUGAAAGCAUCUAAGCACGAAACUUGCCCCGAGAUGAGUUCUCCCUGAGACUUUAAGUCUCCUGAAGGAACGUUGAAGACGACGACGUUGAUAGGCCGGGUGUGUAAGCGCAGCGAUGCGUUGAGCUAACCGGUACUAAUGAACCGUGAGGCUUAACCUU